GCUGAAAUGUGAUACCAUUGGUUUUCAGUAAAGGUUCCUUUCUGCAGGGCUGCAAACACAGAUCAGCUGCUACUGUGUGUACACAACCAGGGAGCAGAUCACCCAGCACAUUCAAAGCAGCCUUUUUAACCCCGAGACUUUCCAAGAUCUCCUCUCCACGCAGGAAGUUUCCUUCUCUGUUGUCAGAUUUAGCACCGCGCUCUUGUCAUCAGAUCCGCGCUAGACUCCCUGCUGCACAGCAGAGAGGCUUCCUUAAGACAUUUGUCCUUGAAACUGCACCAAACUCUUGGAAGAGCCCAGAACGUAUUUGCCUCAACAAAGGAAGCAUCAUGUUACGUCUUUUAAAUAAUUGA
Long non-coding RNA from Capra hircus (goat), 353 nucleotides. The record is from Ensembl. Lineage: Eukaryota; Metazoa; Chordata; Mammalia; Artiodactyla; Bovidae.